RNAcentral lists this ribosomal RNA (305 nucleotides) under uncultured bacterium. Its description in RNAcentral is "partial 16S ribosomal RNA". It matches the Rfam family "Bacterial small subunit ribosomal RNA", at positions 508 to 807 of the family's 1533-position model. The record is from RNAcentral.
ACAGCAGCCGCCGCGGGAAUACGUAGGGUGCAAGCGCUAAUCGGAAUUACUGGGCGUAAAGCGUGCGUAGGCGGUGAGUUAAGUCUGCUGUGAAAUCCCCGGGCUCAACCUGGGAAUGGCAGUGGAUACUGGCUCGCUAGAGUGUGUCAGAGGAUGGUGGAAUUCCCGGUGUAGCGGUGAAAUGCGUAGAGAUCGGGAGGAACAUCAGUGGCGAAGGCGGCCAUCUGGGACAACACUGACGCUGAGGCACGAAAGCGUGGGGAGCAAACAGGAUUAGAUACCCCAGUAGUCCCUGUCUCUUAUAC